RNAcentral lists this ribosomal RNA (459 nucleotides) under uncultured bacterium. Its description in RNAcentral is "partial 16S ribosomal RNA". It matches the Rfam family "Bacterial small subunit ribosomal RNA", at positions 338 to 795 of the family's 1533-position model. The record is from RNAcentral.
CCUACGGGUGGCAGCAGUGAGGAAUAUUGGUCAAUGGACGGGAGGCUGAACCAGCCAAGUCGCGUGAGGGAUGACUGCGCUGUGGGUUGUAAACCUCUUUUGUAGGGGGAUAAAAGGUUCCACGCGUGGGGUUCUGAGGGUACCCGAAGAAUAAGCAUCGGCUAACUCCGUGCCAGCAGCCGCGGUAAUACGGAGGAUGCGAGCGUUAUCCGGAUUUAUUGGGUUUAAAGGGUGCGCAGGCGGACCGUUAAGUCAGCGGUAAAAUUGAGGGGCUCAACCCCGUCGAGCCGUUGAAACUGGGGGUCUUGAGUGGAAGAGAAGUAUGCGGAAUGCGUGGUGUAGCGGUGAAAUGCAUAGAUAUCACGCAGAACCCCGAUUGCGAAGGCAGCAUGCCGGCUCCCCACUGACGCUGAGGCACGAAAGCGUGGGGAUCGAACAGGAUUAGAUACCCCGGUAGUC